Molecule: ribosomal RNA, 215 nt
Filed under: uncultured fungus
Lineage: Eukaryota; Fungi
Description: partial small subunit ribosomal RNA
Rfam family: Eukaryotic small subunit ribosomal RNA (bases 92-215)
Source: RNAcentral
GGCCUGGCUGGCCGGUCGGCCUUCUGGUCUGUACUGGUCAGGCUGGGUCUUUCCUUCUGGCGAGCCGUUAUGCGCUUCAUUGCGUGUGGCGGGGAACCAGGACUUUUACCUUGAAAAAAUUAGAGUGCUCAAAGCAGGCUUGCGCUUGAAUACAUUAGCAUGGAAUAAUGGAAUAGGACUCUGGUUCUAUUUUAUUGGUUUCUAGGACCGGAGUA